GAUGAACGCUAGCGGCAGGCUUAAUACAUGCAAGUCGAGGGGCAGCGCAGUGUAGCAAUACAUGGGCGGCGACCGGCAAACGGGUGCGGAACACGUACGCAACCUUCCUUUAAGUGGGGGAUAGCCCAGGGAAACUUGGAUUAAUACCCCGUAAUAUUAUGAAGUGGCAUCACUUUAUACUUAUAGCUCCGGCGCUUAAAGAUGGGCGUGCGACUGAUUAGGUAGUUGGCGGGGUAACGGCCCACCAAGCCUGCGAUCAGUAACUGGUGUGAGGGCACGACCAGUCACACGGGCCCUGAGACACGGGCCCGACUCCUACGGGAGGCAGCAGUACGGAAUAUUGGUCAAUGGACGCAAGUCUGAACCAGCCAUGCCGCGUGGAGGAUGAAGGUCCUCUGGAUUGUAAACUUCUUUUAUUUGGGAAGAAACCCACUGUUUCUACGGUGGUUGACGGUACCAGAUGAAUAAGCACCGGCUAACUCCGUGCCAGCAGCCGCGGUAA
This 502-nucleotide ribosomal RNA is filed under the name uncultured bacterium. RNAcentral describes it as "partial 16S ribosomal RNA". It matches the Rfam family "Bacterial small subunit ribosomal RNA", at positions 28 to 523 of the family's 1533-position model. The record is from RNAcentral.